GCCCCUGUAGCUCAAUUGGAUAGAGCAGUCCCGUCCUAAGGGAAAGGUUGACCGUUCGAGUCGGUCCAGGGGCGCCA
This 77-nucleotide transfer RNA is filed under the name Candidatus Woykebacteria bacterium RBG_13_40_7b. Its description in RNAcentral is "tRNA-Arg". The record is from RNAcentral. Lineage: Bacteria; Candidatus Woykeibacteriota.